CUAGCCAAAGAGGAUUUCAACAAAAACUGCUUUAUCUAAAUUCAGGAAGGGAGGGUACCGCUGCUCAGAAUUUCUCCUGUUUCAUCUACAAUGUGGAUUUCAUGAACUGUACCUGGGCGAGGGGUCCGACGGCCCCCCGUGACGUCCAGUAUUUUUUGUACAUACAAAACUCAAAGUAAGUGUUCACCUCAUGUGAAGAAUUAUGAGCAAUGCAGGGAUGGGAGAAAAAUCAUGCUUGUUUUUUUUUUCUUUUUCUUUUUUUAAGACAUGGUCUUGCUCUGUUGCCCAGGCUGGAGUGUAGUGAUGUGAUCUCAGCUCCCUGCAACCUGCGCCUCCCUCCCGGGUUCAAGUGAUUCUCCUGCCUCAGCCCCCCGAGUAGCUGGGACGACAGG
RNAcentral lists this small RNA (392 nucleotides) under Pongo abelii (Sumatran orangutan). RNAcentral describes it as "processed transcript". Lineage: Eukaryota; Metazoa; Chordata; Mammalia; Primates; Hominidae. The record is from RNAcentral.